CCCUGGGCUCCGGGGCCGCCCCCGAAGUGGGCGCGCGUUCUCCGCCGGGCUGGGGCCGUGAAUGGAGCCAGUAAAAUGACGAGCGGUGCCCGAACGCACUCAUUCUGAGAACCGAUUAGUGGUGGACGUGUGAUUCAAAUUUAUGGGCGCCGUGGGUGUUUUUUUUCUGGGCAGCGGCCCCGGAGCAGAAGAGUCGGGAGUUAGAACAGCGUCUUAACAGGGAACUGACCUAGUUUCAUGUAUCGAGAGGGCUCCCCUGAGACACUGUUUAUUUAGCGAGUCCUUGUCCGGUGCGUCCUACUCUGCUAGUUGUAACUCUUUGAAGCGUCAGAGCAACCGUUGUUGCCCCCAUUCCUCCAGCUGGGGAAGAGGGAGCACGGAGCUCAGUGGCAGCUCUGGGACGGAGGGACAGCCUCGGACGCUUGGAGGGCCUGGCUCCCUGACCCCAGGUCCCCGCCCAAAUGCCACCUCAUCCACCUGUGUUUUCAACAGCCAGCUGUGCUCUGGGGCUCAGCAGAGGGCAGGGCAGAGUCCCUACCCCGUAAUGGGAUGGGCAGUGGCGGCGGGGAGCCGCAGAGCUACAGAGAAGACCAUUUCAGGCAGUAAGAACCAAAGAGACUACAGCAGGGUAGUGAGACCGUGAUGAAAGUGAUGGUUCCACCUAAGUUGGGGGGAUGAGUCAGGGAAGGCCUCUGAGAAGGUGACAGCCGUGCAGAAAUGUGCAAAGGUCUUGAGGCCAGAGUUUGGUGUCUGGGGAGCAGGAAAGGCCUCUUUGGCUGGGGUGUGUGAGCAGAGAGAGGUCUGAGUGUCAGAGAGGGGCUACAAUUGGAAUAUGGAGUUUGUUCUGUGCGGCACUAAUGAGUCUGAAUUGGGAGUGACCUGACCUGAUUUACGUUUUAGAACGUUCUCUCCCGCUACUGUGUAGCGACUGGGCCAUAGGAAGGACUAGACAGGGAGCCAGGAGACUAGCUAGGUGGCUCUGACAGAGGUUUGGGUGAUGUAGAUUACAAACCAGUUGCGUGAGUCGGCUCAGACAGUCAUAAUGAAAUACCACAGACCUGGAGGCUGAAACAAGAAAUUCGUUUUCUCACGAUUCUGGAGGCUGGAAGUCCAAGGUCAAGGUGUUGGUAGGCCCCUGGAAUAGUGCCUCGCACUCCAUAAACACUUCUCGAAUGGAUGUCCCUGGGAAAUUUGGAGCUAAGAGCUGUAGGAUGAACAAGAGCUUCUAGGGGUCGCCUGCCUUCCUUGGCUGGUGGACGCUUCCAUCAUCUUCAAAGCCAGCAAUGGUCGGUUAAUCAAGCCUUUCUACAACGCAUCGCUCCGUUUCUGCCUCUGAUAUCACGUCUCCUCUGACUCUCCUGCCUUCUUGUAAUUACAUUGAGCCCAUCCAGAUAAUCCAGGAUGAUCUCCACAUGUAUAUAUGGAAGAGUUCUUAUGGCCAGAACAUUUGUAUUUUAAAGAAGAGAAGAACAAGGCCUGUUCUUUUUAGAUAGGUUCUGUUUUUCCUAAGGUAUGUUGUGUUUGUGACUUCAGUCUUCUUACUCACCUUGGAUUCUCCACUCCCCUGCAUGCUGUCCUGUCAUUUCUCAAGCGAAUAAGGAGGCAGUAUAUGAGUCUAUUUUUAGUUACCUUGGUUUUCCCUUCAGCUGGGCACCAAACUGGGUAUCUUAGUGAAAGAACCCAUCUCCUAGCACUCAUCUGGAAAUCUGGGAGGGAGUUUUGGGCCAUGGGGAUCUCUGGACAGUGGCUCCUGCACCCAGGCAGUGACAGCAGUGGUAGUUCUGUUUCAUGUGUAAAGUCCUCCAAGAUUCUCAGCUGAAGCUGGCACGUGCCCAUGACAAAAGUGGUUUUUGUUUUAUAUAUUCACAUCCUAAGUCCCCUCAAAAAAAAAAAAAAAAGAUGUUCUAUAUCGUUAUAAAUACCAUACACUCUCACUCAAGCUCCUCCAAAUAAAUAUAAAAUCAAUGUUAUAGAAUAAGUGUUUGUGUCCCCUCUCCCAAAUUCAUGUAUUAGAAAUUGUAACCCUCAAUGUGAUGUUAUUAGGAGGUGGGGCCUUUGGGAGGUGCCUAGGUCAUGAGGGUGGAGCCCUUAUGAAUGAUAUUAGUGCCCUUAUAAAGGGAGGGAGACGAUUUCUCUGCGCCUUAUGUGAGGACACAAGAAGAUGCCUAUUUGCAGACCAGGAAGAGGGUCUCACCAGACACUAGAUCAUCUGGCACCUUGAUCUCAGACUUCCCAGCCUUCAGGUCUGUGAGAAAUAAAUGUCUGCUGUUUAAGCACCCUGUCUGUGGUGUUCUGUAAGAGCAGCAGGAAUGGGCUGAGACAGUGAACAUCUAAGAUACAAGCAGCUGGGCAGUAGGAGGCAGCACAAUGGUGGAAGG
Long non-coding RNA from Camelus dromedarius (Arabian camel), 2378 nucleotides. RefSeq lists it as uncharacterized. The transcript has 3 exons. NCBI's taxonomy places the organism in Eukaryota, Metazoa, Chordata, Mammalia, Artiodactyla, Camelidae. The record is from RefSeq and is a predicted model, not a curated record.